RNAcentral lists this transfer RNA (97 nucleotides) under Morganella morganii. Its description in RNAcentral is "tRNA-Asn". It matches the Rfam family "tRNA". From Rfam's summary of the family: Transfer RNA (tRNA) molecules are approximately 80 nucleotides in length. Their secondary structure includes four short double-helical elements and three loops (D, anti-codon, and T loops). Lineage: Bacteria; Pseudomonadati; Pseudomonadota; Gammaproteobacteria; Enterobacterales; Morganellaceae. The record is from RNAcentral.
UCCUCCAUAGUUCAGUCGGUAGAACGGCGGACUGUUUCGGUAGAACGGCGGACUGUUAAUCCGUAUGUCGCUGGUUCAAGUCCAGCUGGAGGAGCCA